GGAUUAGAUACCCUGGUAGUCCACGCCGUAAACGAUGGAUGCUAGGUGUCGGAGGAUUCACCCCUUCGGUGCCGAAGUUAACGCAUUAAGCAUCCCGCCUGGGGAGUACGGUCGCAAGAUUAAAACUCAAAGGAAUUGACGGGGGCCCGCACAAGCGGUGGAGUAUGUGGUUUAAUUCGACGCAACGCGCAGAACCUUACCCAGGCUUGACAUCCUCGGAACCUGAUGGAAACAUCGGGGUGUCCCCUCACGGGGAAGCCGAGUGACAGGUGCUGCAUGGCUGUCGUCAGCUCGUGUCG
RNAcentral lists this ribosomal RNA (299 nucleotides) under uncultured bacterium. Its description in RNAcentral is "partial 16S ribosomal RNA". It matches the Rfam family "Bacterial small subunit ribosomal RNA", at positions 775 to 1067 of the family's 1533-position model. The record is from RNAcentral.